This 320-nucleotide long non-coding RNA is filed under the name Mytilus galloprovincialis (Mediterranean mussel). Lineage: Eukaryota; Metazoa; Mollusca; Bivalvia; Mytilida; Mytilidae. The record is from RNAcentral.
UCCCCCCACAGUAAGCAUCUAUAAAUCAUAUAAACCAAUUAAUUUGGUGUGGCUUUUGGAUAAACCAAAUUACAUCAUUCUGUAUAAAACCACUGUCAUACAUCCCAUUAUUCUGAAAUGAAAAGGACCAGUCAGACUGAGAAUCAGAACAAGUAUUUAUGUACACAAUAUAUCUAGACUAUCACUACACAUCAUUCCAUCCUUUUUCAAUAAUUAAACCAAGAUAUAAGAGAACAAAACUCAUUCCAGGUAUAAAUAAUAUUUUUAUUAUCAAACAUUCACUUAUAAUGUUACGUACUGUCAAUGAUAACUGAGAGCUG